This 2104-nucleotide long non-coding RNA is filed under the name Daphnia pulex (common water flea). RNAcentral describes it as "uncharacterized LOC124199843". Lineage: Eukaryota; Metazoa; Arthropoda; Branchiopoda; Diplostraca; Daphniidae. The record is from RNAcentral.
UAUACCACUACACUGCGACUGUGACUUCGGGGUGUUACUGUUAUGUUAUUAUUGUAACUGUCUCUGCGUUGUGUUCAUGUUAGACCAUGAAUCGAAAGGAUUCUCGAAUUGUGAACUUCCUCGAAAGCCCUAUUGUUUACACCAUUGUUAUUGUGACUAGUUUUCAACCUCCUUUGCAUGGCUGAAACCCCAUUGAGGAGGAAGGAGUUCAAUGGUAUGCUAGUAGCAGGAAAGACCUGGACAGUUUACUGGAAAACAACAACACACAAGCCAUUGUGGAACGGUGGGAAAGGUCUGUGAGAAUUAAAAAGAGCCAAACAGGCAGAAGAAAAACGAUUGAGUGAAAUUGGUAAAGAAAUUAAGAAGGUGGAAGAAAUGAAAUCGAUGUGAAUGUGUCAAAAGAACGACCUAGACAAUAUGGAUGAAGGCAUGGCCUUGGCUUGACGAGAUAUGGGAGCAGUAACAAAAGACCUGCUGAACAUUCAGAAGUCUAUAACUAGUUUAGAAGCAAAUAUUGGAAAAGUAAGAAGACAAUAUGAAUGAAGGCAUGGCCUUGGCUCGACAAGAUAUGGGAGCAGUAACAAAAGACCUGCUGAACAUUCAGAAGUCUAUAACUAGUUUAGAAGCGAAUAUUGAAAAAAAAGAAGUGAAAGGCACAGCAUUUUAAAUAAAUCAAAGAAGGAAGAUAUCGUUAUUCCGAUGUCGCUUGGUAACAUGGAAGACAUUGGGCAAGAUAGUAAUAUGCUACCGGAAGUAUGAAUAGCGAGUCUGUCACAACCAGUGGUAGCGAUUCAGUUAGCAUUCCUCAAAACUCUCAAGAGAUAUAUGAGAGAAGAAAGAAUUGUUGUCGACUAUUCUAAUCUACCUGACAAGUAUAAAAAUCUUCUUGUAUCGGAUGAAAUACGCCGUGAAGGUGAUCUCCUAGAACGUCGCGUGAACGAGUUGAGCCAUACAGUUCAGCAUAAUAAAGCCCCUAAUAUGCGGGCUGUGGAAAAAAUUUGACUUGGCAGGAGAAAAGCUACAAUGGACCAACACAGAGUUUGAAAAGGUUCGCGCCAAAACCAAGAAAGCUCAACAGGCAUUUGAAAGAGUAAAACAAGAGCGUUUUGAUCUCUUUAUGUCUUGUUUUGAACACGUUUUGAAUAAAAUCGAUGGCAUUUAUGAUUCGUUGGCGAGGAACAAUUCUGCUCAAGCCGUUUACCCCAGCCGUCAGAGCGCCCCUAUCAGCCUGACGGUGCAAUAGAAUUUUCGCCUACUAAUAGAAUUUUCGCCGGAUCUAUGCAGACGCACCUACCCCCUAUCACAUCACAUCACAUCACUGCCUAAUUCCAGAAUUCUUCCAAGAUAGCUCUGUGACUUAGCCGAAGGCCAACGCUUGCAACGCGAGCCCUAGUUAAAGGGCUCGAAACCGAGGUUGCCAACAAUACCUACGAAAACUAAGAUAUUGCUAAAAGCUGCUCUGCUAAAAGAACUUGAAAACGAAUUAAUUACAACAUUUUUCUAUUUUACUCUUGUUGAACUUAAAAAAUUAUUAUAUAAAAAACAGUAUUAAUGUCUAAUAAAGUAAACAAACGUCUCAAUUUUCCUGACGUUAUCAACGUUGCCAACGUAUGGUAACAUUUAUAAAGUGUUUGUUCUUAUCCAAAUUCUAUGGCUUGUUGGUAUGGAAUGGAAUGUUGGCUGUUCAGAGCUGUUAAAGAAAAUUUAUUGAAAUAAGCAAAAGGGAAGAUUGGGAUGGGGACUGACGUAGUGACAUACAUGAGUAGUGACCUGAGUACACGCUCUUACUUCAUUGACUGCGAAGUAGGCCACAAGCGGCUCGCAUUAAGUUGACCCGAGUGAACGGUAUGUCAAAGCAAAAACAAAACAAUCUUGAGAUACGAAGAACACUUGAGAUAGAAAAUCCUACAUUUCACUUCAAUUCGUUAUGAAGUAAGAACUCUUGUUACACGGUUGUUCAGUGAAUACAGUGAUUUGGUCAUGCCCGUACUGCGCCUCCCUGGUAGCUGAUUUCCAUCUGGAUCAUCAUCAGAUUGGGAUUAACAUCGCUAACAAAUCAAUUUAUAGAAAAACACUCGAAGUUAGAAGGAUUCGAACCUACCAA